Molecule: long non-coding RNA, 536 nt
Organism: Hirundo rustica (Barn swallow)
Lineage: Eukaryota; Metazoa; Chordata; Aves; Passeriformes; Hirundinidae
Exons: 3
Source: RefSeq, a predicted model, not a curated record
CCGUUGUUGUGUGUGCAACUCCUGUGCAGCACAAACCCUGAUGGUUGUGUUUGUGCUGCCCUGCCUGGCACAGGGUGGCACAGACACAUCUGCUGCAAAGCCCUUUUACACCGCUCUGGGUGCAAACACAACCAGUUCAGAACCAGCUGGGGCUCUCAAACCACAUAAUGCAUCAGUCCAGGUCACAAUGGAACUGGAUGAACUUCAAACAUAGCUGCAGACCCAGCUUGCUGUCUUCUACAUGAAGCUGAACCUGAACUCCACAGCGCUCCUCAGCUCUCCUGAGCUCUGCUCUCCCAGGGAAGGGGUCUCCCAUCCAUCCAUGGAGACUGCAGCCUGCAGUGUGGGAUUCCACGGCACUGGGAAGCACCGUCAGGCACAGCUCUCCUUCCUGGACACUCCAGUCAGACUCAUCAAUAUCUCCUGCUCAUUGCUGAGCUCAGGUGAACCAGUAAAGGAACACAGAGAACGUUCCAUGUCCCACUCUGUUUCCCACUUCCAUUUCUGAGAAUCAGCUCCAGGUGUCAGGAAAAGCC